UUCCGUCGACGACGAGGGAGGAAGGACGUAACCGAAAUGGCAAAAACAAAAGAUUCCGACACAGUAAACACCUUUAUCUUCGUUUAUUAUGGGCAUGUUUCCUGUUUUGCCGUAACUUUGGCUUUCUAUCAAAAUUCCAAUGCUACCAGACAUCUUUUUUGCUAUCUGCAAUAAAAGGAAGAGGGAAAAAUAAACAAAAAAAAGGUCUUUUCAAGGGAGGAAGAAAAAAAAAAAUUUAAUUUUGUAUUAUGUCAAUGCAGGAAUGUGUGAAUAAAUGAAUUACAAUGAAGAUAAUGAAAAUCUCUAUUGCUAGAAAUUAAGAAAAUGGCGAAACAUUCCCAUUACUUAAACGGUUUGAAGUAAAGAAAAUGGACUCGAAUUUUGUCGUGAAGAAUUCUCACGAGGUAAAUGACUUUAUUUAUUAUUUAUUUAUUUAUUUAUUAUUAUUAAGAAAUCGUUACGAAUACGUUACAACAAUUCGGGGGAGGAGGAGAAGGAUACAAAUGAACCGAAAUCGAUAUUCUAAAGAUGGAAAGUGAUAAAUUUCAAUGAUACCCACUCGACUCGCGCCAUUCUGAACUCCAUCUAAUGUCGAUUCGACGAAGUGAGAGCCCGGUUGAACUAAGUGUAAGAAAGAAGGGAGAGGGGAGAAGGGGGACGAAAAGUAGGAUGACGCAUGCGUGGCGAAUU
Centruroides sculpturatus (bark scorpion) is the source of this 690-nucleotide long non-coding RNA. RefSeq lists it as uncharacterized. The record is from RefSeq and is a predicted model, not a curated record. The transcript is spliced from 4 exons. Lineage: Eukaryota; Metazoa; Arthropoda; Arachnida; Scorpiones; Buthidae.